Molecule: ribosomal RNA, 497 nt
Filed under: uncultured bacterium
Lineage: Bacteria
Description: partial 16S ribosomal RNA
Rfam family: Bacterial small subunit ribosomal RNA
Source: RNAcentral
GGGGGGGGGGGGGGGGGGGGGGGGGGGGGGGGGGGGGGGGGGGGGGGGGGGAGGCGGGGGGGGCGGAUGGUAGCGGCGGGGGGGGGAGGAACACGGGGAUAACCGACCUGUAAGACUGGGAUAACUUCGGGGAACCGUAGCUAAUACGGGAUAAUAUUGUGAACCGCAUGGUUCAAAAGUGAAAGACGGUCUUGCUGCCACUUAUAGAUGGAUCCGCGCUGCAUUAGCUAGUUGGUAAGGUAACGGCUUACCAAGGCAACGAUGCAUAGCCGACCUGAGAGGGUGAUCGGCCACACUGGAACUGAGACACGGUCCAGACUCCUACGGGAGGCAGCAGUAGGGAAUCUUCCGCAAUGGGCGAAAGCCUGACGGAGCAACGCCGCGUGAGUGAUGAAGGUCUUCGGAUCGUAAAACUCUGUUAUUAGGGAAGAACAUAUGUGUAAGUAACUGUGCACAUCUUGACGGUACCUAAUCAGAAAGCCACGGCUAACUACGUG